This 630-nucleotide ribosomal RNA is filed under the name uncultured Russulaceae. RNAcentral's name for it is "LSU rRNA". It matches the Rfam family "Eukaryotic large subunit ribosomal RNA", at positions 47 to 649 of the family's 3401-position model. The record is from RNAcentral. Lineage: Eukaryota; Fungi; Basidiomycota; Agaricomycetes; Russulales; Russulaceae.
UAAGCGGAGGAAAAGAAACUAACAAGGAUUCCCCUAGUAACUGCGAGUGAAGCGGGAAAAGCUCAAAUUUGGAAUCUGGUGGUCUUUGGCCAUCCGAGUUGUAAUUUAGAGAAGCGUCUUCCGCGCUGGACCGUGCACAAGUCUCCUGGAAUGGAGCGUCAUAGAGGGUGAGAAUCCCGUCUUUGGCAUGGAAUCCCAGGGCUUCUGUGAUGCGCUCUCGACGAGUCGAGUUGUUUGGGAAUGCAGCUCAAAAUGGGUGGUGAACUCCAUCUAAAGCUAAAUAUUGGCGAGAGACCGAUAGCGAACAAGUACCGUGAGGGAAAGAUGAAAAGCACUUUGGAAAGAGAGUGAAACAGUACGUGAAAUUGUUGAAAGGGAAACGCUUGAAGUCAGUCGCGUCGACCGAGACUCAGCCUUGCCUCGGCUUGGUGUACUUCUCGCCUUGACGGGUCAGCAUCGAUUUCAAUCCUCGGAUAAUGGCAAGGGAAAGGUAGCACCUUUUUAGGUGUGUUAUAGUCCUCUGUCGCAUGCGAGGGUCGGGAUCGAGGAACUCAGCACGCACCUCAGGGUGUCGGGGCCUUGGCCCACGUUUACGUGCUUAGGAUGCUGGCGUAAUGGCUUUAAACGACC